CCUACGGGUGGCUGCAGUGGGGAAUAUUGCACAAUGGGCGGAACCCUGAUGCAGCGAAGUCGCGUGAGUGAUGAAGUAUCUCGGUAUGUAAAGCUUCAUCAGCCGGGAAGAAAAUGACGGUACCUGACUAAGAAGCCCCGGGUAACUACGUGCCAGCAGCCGCUGUAAUACGUAGGGAGCAAGCGUUAUCCGGAUUUACUGGGGGUAAAGGGGGCGUAGACGGGUGUGCAAGGUUAGAGGGAAAUGUGGGGGCCCAACCCCCGGAGUGCUCUUGAAACUGUAGAGCUUGAGUGCGCGAGAGGUAAGCGGAAUUCCUGGUGUAGCGGUGAAAUGCAUAGAUAUUAGGAAGAACUCCAGUGGCGAAGGCAGCUUACUGGACUGCAACUGACGUUGAAGCUCGAAAGCGUGGGGAGCAAACAGGAUUAGAUACCCUUGUAGUC
RNAcentral lists this ribosomal RNA (440 nucleotides) under uncultured bacterium. Its description in RNAcentral is "partial 16S ribosomal RNA". It matches the Rfam family "Bacterial small subunit ribosomal RNA", at positions 338 to 795 of the family's 1533-position model. The record is from RNAcentral.